This is a long non-coding RNA of Phodopus roborovskii (desert hamster), 243 nucleotides long. RefSeq lists it as uncharacterized. Lineage: Eukaryota; Metazoa; Chordata; Mammalia; Rodentia; Cricetidae. The transcript is spliced from 3 exons. The record is from RefSeq and is a predicted model, not a curated record.
CCCCAUCGGCCCCGCGGCUUGAUUUUCAGAAACAACCAACAUGUCGUCUGAGAUGCUGCCAGUGUGUCUUGCGACUCCUAAUGUGGGAAGAGAGCCAGGUGUAAGUGAUGGUGAAGAGGAUGGGCAGAAGCCAAGCUUAGAUGCAGGGACUGAGCCAAUAUCUAAGCGGCAGAUGAAGAAGCUGAUGAAGCAGAAGCAGUGGGAAGAACAGCGAGAACUUCGGAAGGAAAAACGAAAAGAAAG